RNAcentral lists this ribosomal RNA (1369 nucleotides) under uncultured bacterium. RNAcentral describes it as "bacterial SSU rRNA". It matches the Rfam family "Bacterial small subunit ribosomal RNA", at positions 28 to 1381 of the family's 1533-position model. The record is from RNAcentral.
GGCGAACGCUGGCGGCGUGCCUAAUACAUGCAAGUAGAACGCUGAAGAGAGGAGCUUGCUCUUCUUGGAUGAGUUGCGAACGGGUGAGUAACGCGUAGGUAACCUGCCUUGUAGCGGGGGAUAACUAUUGGAAACGAUAGCUAAUACCGCAUAACAAUGGAUGACACAUGUCAUUUAUUUGAAAGGGGCAAUUGCUCCACUACAAGAUGGACCUGCGUUGUAUUAGCUAGUAGGUGAGGUAACGGCUCACCUAGGCGACGAUACAUAGCCGACCUGAGAGGGUGAUCGGCCACACUGGGACUGAGACACGGCCCAGACUCCUACGGGAGGCAGCAGUAGGGAAUCUUCGGCAAUGGGGGCAACCCUGACCGAGCAACGCCGCGUGAGUGAAGAAGGUUUUCGGAUCGUAAAGCUCUGUUGUAAGUCAAGAACGAGUGUGAGAGUGGAAAGUUCACACUGUGACGGUAGCUUACCAGAAAGGGACGGCUAACUACGUGCCAGCAGCCGCGGUAAUACGUAGGUCCCGAGCGUUGUCCGGAUUUAUUGGGCGUAAAGCGAGCGCAGGCGGUUUGAUAAGUCUGAAGUUAAAGGCUGUGGCUCAACCAUAGUUCGCUUUGGAAACUGUCAAACUUGAGUGCAGAAGGGGAGAGUGGAAUUCCAUGUGUAGCGGUGAAAUGCGUAGAUAUAUGGAGGAACACCGGUGGCGAAAGCGGCUCUCUGGUCUGUAACUGACGCUGAGGCUCGAAAGCGUGGGGAGCGAACAGGAUUAGAUACCCUGGUAGUCCACGCCGUAAACGAUGAGUGCUAGGUGUUGGAUCCUUUCCGGGAUUCAGUGCCGCAGCUAACGCAUUAAGCACUCCGCCUGGGGAGUACGACCGCAAGGUUGAAACUCAAAGGAAUUGACGGGGGCCCGCACAAGCGGUGGAGCAUGUGGUUUAAUUCGAAGCAACGCGAAGAACCUUACCAGGUCUUGACAUCCCGAUGCUAUUUCUAGAGAUAGAAAGUUACUUCGGUACAUCGGUGACAGGUGGUGCAUGGUUGUCGUCAGCUCGUGUCGUGAGAUGUUGGGUUAAGUCCCGCAACGAGCGCAACCCCUAUUGUUAGUUGCCAUCAUUCAGUUGGGCACUCCAGCGAGACUGCCGGUAAUAAACCGGAGGAAGGUGGGGAUGACGUCAAAUCAUCAUGCCCCUUAUGACCUGGGCUACACACGUGCUACAAUGGUUGGUACAACGAGUUGCGAGUCGGUGACGGCAAGCUAAUCUCUUAAAGCCAAUCUCAGUUCGGAUUGUAGGCUGCAACUCGCCUACAUGAAGUCGGAAUCGCUAGUAAUCGCGGAUCAGCACGCCGCGGUGAAUACGUUCCCGGGCCU